GAUGAACGCUAGCGGCAGGCCUAACACAUGCAAGUCGAGGGAGAAGCCCUUUCGGGGGCAGAAACCGGCGCACGGGUGCGUAACGCGUAUGCAACCUACCUUUCACAGGGGGAUAGCCCGAAGAAAUUUGGAUUAAUACCCCAUAAUAUUAUUGGAUGGCAUCAUUUGAUAAUUAAAACUGCGGUGGUGAAAGAUGGGCAUGCGUCCUAUUAGCUAGUUGGAGUGGUAACGGCACCCCAAGGCUACGAUAGGUAGGGGUCCUGAGAGGGAGAUCCCCCACACUGGUACUGAGACAGGGACCAGACUCCUACGGGAGGCAGCAGUGAGGAAUAUUGGUCAAUGGUCGGAAGACUGAACCAGCCAUGCCGCGUGCAGGAAGAAUGCCUUAUGGGUUGUAAACUGCUUUUAUAGGGGAAGAAUAAGGCGUACGUGUACGUUGAUGACGGUACCAUAUGAAUAAGCAUCGGCUAACUCCGUG
Molecule: ribosomal RNA, 478 nt
Filed under: uncultured bacterium
Lineage: Bacteria
Description: partial 16S ribosomal RNA
Rfam family: Bacterial small subunit ribosomal RNA
Source: RNAcentral